AAGUCGUAACAAGGUUUCCGUAGGUGAACCUGCGGAAGGAUCAUUAACACGUAUCCAACGUUAAACCCCCCUGUGAACCUUUAGUGUGCUCCCUCAUUCUGUUGGAACGUGGCAAUCCCUGGUAAAUCAUCGCCGAACAGUUUUGAUUCAGGGACUUCUGCAAAGAGUGCUGGUUGUAGCGCGAGGCAAGUGGCCUGGCAUUCCUCUGCUUGUUAGUGUCUGAAAGUGUCACUGGCUCUGUAAGAAUGGCGCAGUCACGAUCGCUAGAGGCCGACACGGCCGGCGACCGGGUCAGUGAGCUCUGCUCCCGCUGUUACGUCAAACCCCAUGUUCCCCUCUAGUGAAAGCUAUUGGGUUAUAACUAAACGACUGUUAACAAUGGAUAUCUCGAUUCUC
Molecule: unclassified non-coding RNA, 396 nt
Filed under: fungal sp.
Lineage: Eukaryota; Fungi
Description: partial internal transcribed spacer region
Rfam family: Eukaryotic small subunit ribosomal RNA (bases 1-46)
Source: RNAcentral